This is a non-coding RNA of Pelobates cultripes (western spadefoot toad), 933 nucleotides long. The record is from the annotation of a GenBank genome assembly. Lineage: Eukaryota; Metazoa; Chordata; Amphibia; Anura; Pelobatidae.
GUACUGACAACCACGGACGGAAUCACCCAGGGAUAGAUGGGUAACCUGGCAUGCCCCCCCAGCCCCCGACGAUAAACGUGGUGCUUACCCAACCACAGACAAUGCCCAGGGAUACAAUCAAGACCAACUGGGGCCCCCCUGAGCCACAUGCUCUCCCACCUGACCCUACAGUAAGGCACCUGGCCUACAUAAGGCCCCUGAGCCACCUGCACCAGGGUUGAGUGGAAAAGCAGUCACCCCUCGCUUAAAGGUUAGAUGACAACACUACUGGCCUCGGAGAGACAUCGUACAAACAGCAUACCCUAGGAAAUGAAUGGACCCUGACAAGCGUAGUCCUGAACACACACCCCCCCUGGGGAACAAUGCAGGCAGGGAGUUAACCGAUGAGAUCGGCAGGCCUGCUUAGGGAAGGGGACACCUCAAACCAUACUAACAGACAGGCUGGGCCUGUAAGGUACCGGGGGACUGCAGAACCACUAUAACAAUCUGCCCCCCUCCCGCUGGCUCUCUACCCAAGGAACCACUCAAAGCACCACAGAGGGACUCCCUAAGGGAAGGCCCAAGAACCUCUAACGUUAAGACACCAAAGUUGAAGGAAUAAAUGUGACCAGGUUAAGGUUGAAGUUAAGCUGUUGUGAUACAAUGUAAAACUGCGGAUGUUUGGUUUUCAGCCACAAGACACACCCCAUCUCACAGGCUAACGGAAGCCGCAUACAGCAAACGGUAUUCUACCGACAACACAAGACUGGACGAUGACAGAACCCCCUUACCACUAAACCGCAACUGGACCCACCAGAAAGCCAGACUGACAACUCACGAGACCACAAGGUAUGACCUUACCAUCACACGACAUGAUACACAAUGAACAUAUCCCACAGAAAUACCAACAAUAAGACGAUGACUACCCAUAGAAUAUGUAGAACCUCGGAUAAC